RNAcentral lists this ribosomal RNA (1707 nucleotides) under Salmonella enterica subsp. enterica serovar Braenderup. RNAcentral's name for it is "bacterial LSU rRNA". It matches the Rfam family "Bacterial large subunit ribosomal RNA", at positions 1252 to 2925 of the family's 2925-position model. Lineage: Bacteria; Pseudomonadati; Pseudomonadota; Gammaproteobacteria; Enterobacterales; Enterobacteriaceae. The record is from RNAcentral.
GAAGGUGGCCUGUGAGGGUUGCUGGAGGUAUCAGAAGUGCGAAUGCUGACAUAAGUAACGAUAAAGCGGGUGAAAAGCCCGCUCGCCGGAAGACCAAGGGUUCCUGUCCAACGUUAAUCGGGGCAGGGUGAGUCGACCCCUAAGGCGAGGCCGAAAGGCGUAGUCGAUGGGAAACGGGUUAAUAUUCCCGUACUUGGUGUUACUGCGAAGGGGGGACGGAGAAGGCUAUGUUGGCCGGGCGACGGUUGUCCCGGUUUAAGCGUGUAGGUGUGUGUUCCAGGUAAAUCCGGUUCACUUUAACACUGAGGCGUGACGACGAGGCACUACGGUGCUGAAGCAACAAAUGCCCUGCUUCCAGGAAAAGCCUCUAAGCAUCAGGUAACAUCAAAUCGUACCCCAAACCGACACAGGUGGUCAGGUAGAGAAUACCAAGGCGCUUGAGAGAACUCGGGUGAAGGAACUAGGCAAAAUGGUGCCGUAACUUCGGGAGAAGGCACGCUGACACGUAGGUGAAGUGAUUUACUCAUGGAGCUGAAGUCAGUCGAAGAUACCAGCUGGCUGCAACUGUUUAUUAAAAACACAGCACUGUGCAAACACGAAAGUGGACGUAUACGGUGUGACGCCUGCCCGGUGCCGGAAGGUUAAUUGAUGGGGUCAGCGCAAGCGAAGCUCCUGAUCGAAGCCCCGGUAAACGGCGGCCGUAACUAUAACGGUCCUAAGGUAGCGAAAUUCCUUGUCGGGUAAGUUCCGACCUGCACGAAUGGCGUAAUGAUGGCCAGGCUGUCUCCACCCGAGACUCAGUGAAAUUGAACUCGCUGUGAAGAUGCAGUGUACCCGCGGCAAGACGGAAAGACCCCGUGAACCUUUACUAUAGCUUGACACUGAACAUUGAGCCUUGAUGUGUAGGAUAGGUGGGAGGCUUUGAAGUGUGGACGCCAGUCUGCAUGGAGCCGACCUUGAAAUACCACCCUUUAAUGUUUGAUGUUCUAACGUGGACCCGUUACCCGGGUUGCGGACAGUGUCUGGUGGGUAGUUUGACUGGGGCGGUCUCCUCCUAAAGAGUAACGGAGGAGCACGAAGGUUGGCUAAUCCUGGUCGGACAUCAGGAGGUUAGUGCAAUGGCAUAAGCCAGCUUGACUGCGAGCGUGACGGCGCGAGCAGGUGCGAAAGCAGGUCAUAGUGAUCCGGUGGUUCUGAAUGGAAGGGCCAUCGCUCAACGGAUAAAAGGUACUCCGGGGAUAACAGGCUGAUACCGCCCAAGAGUUCAUAUCGACGGCGGUGUUUGGCACCUCGAUGUCGGCUCAUCACAUCCUGGGGCUGAAGUAGGUCCCAAGGGUAUGGCUGUUCGCCAUUUAAAGUGGUACGCGAGCUGGGUUUAGAACGUCGUGAGACAGUUCGGUCCCUAUCUGCCGUGGGCGCUGGAGAACUGAGGGGGGCUGCUCCUAGUACGAGAGGACCGGAGUGGACGCAUCACUGGUGUUCGGGUUGUCAUGCCAAUGGCACUGCCCGGUAGCUAAAUGCGGAAGAGAUAAGUGCUGAAAGCAUCUAAGCACGAAACUUGCCCCGAGAUGAGUUCUCCCUGAGACUUAAAGUCUCCUGAAGGAACGUUGAAGACGACGACGUUGAUAGGCCGGGUGUGUAAGCGCAGCGAUGCGUUGAGCUAACCGGUACUAAUGAACCGUGAGGCUUAACCUUACAACGCCGAAG